Molecule: ribosomal RNA, 818 nt
Filed under: uncultured bacterium
Lineage: Bacteria
Description: bacterial SSU rRNA
Rfam family: Bacterial small subunit ribosomal RNA
Source: RNAcentral
AGUCGAGGGGCAGCAUGGGAGUAGCAAUACUUCUGAUGGCGACCGGCCCAUGGGUGCGUAACGCGUAUGCAACCUACCUGUAACAGGGGGAUAACACUGAGAAAUCGGUACUAAUACCGCAUAACACUAUGAGAGGCAUCUCUUGUGGUUGAAAGUUUCGGCGGUUACAGAUGGGCAUGCGUUGUAUUAGCUGGUUGGUAAGGUAACGGCUUACCAAGGCGACGAUACAUAGGGGGACUGAGAGGUUAACCCCCCACAUUGGUACUGAGACACGGACCAAACUCCUACGGGAGGCAGCAGUGAGGAAUAUUGGUCAAUGGACGGAAGUCUGAACCAGCCAUGCCGCGUGCAGGAAGACGGCUCUAUGAGUUGUAAACUGCUUUUGUACAAGGGUAAACCUGAAUACGUGUAUUCAGCUGAAAGUACUGUACGAAUAAGGAUCGGCUAACUCCGUGCCAGCAGCCGCGGUAAUACGGAGGAUCCAAGCGUUAUCCGGAUUUAUUGGGUUUAAAGGGUGCGUAGGCGGAUUGAUAAGUUAGAGGUGAAAUGUCCGAGCUUAACUCGGGAACUGCCUCUAAUACUGUUGAUCUAGAGAGUAGAUGCGGUAGGCGGAAUGUAUGGUGUAGCGGUGAAAUGCUUAGAGAUCAUACAGAACACCGAUUGCGAAGGCAGCUUACCAAUCUAUAUCUGACGUUGAGGCACGAAAGCGUGGGGAGCAAACAGGAUUAGAUACCCUGGUAGUCCACGCAGUAAACGAUGAUAGCUCGUUGUCGGCGAUACACAGUCGGUGACUAAGAGAAAUCGAUAAGCUAUCCACC